This 253-nucleotide ribosomal RNA is filed under the name uncultured bacterium. Its description in RNAcentral is "partial 16S ribosomal RNA". It matches the Rfam family "Bacterial small subunit ribosomal RNA", at positions 524 to 776 of the family's 1533-position model. The record is from RNAcentral.
UACGUAGGUGGCAAGCGUUGUCCGGAUUUAUUGGGUUUAAGGGGUGCGUAGGCGGCUUUGUAAGUCAGUGGUGAAAUAUGGCAGCUUAACUGUCAAGGUGCCAUUGAUACUGCAGAGCUUGAGUACAGAUGAGGUAGGCGGAAUUGACGGUGUAGCGGUGAAAUGCUUAGAUAUCGUCAAGAACACCUAUAGCGAAGGCAGCUUACUAAGCUGUAACUGACGCUGAGGCACGAAAGUGUGGGGAUCAAACAGG